UACGUAGGGUGCAAGCGUUGUCCGGAAUUAUUGGGCGUAAAGAGCUCGUAGGCGGUUCGUCGCGUCGGCUGUGAAAACCCGGAGCUCAACUCCGGGCCUGCAGUCGAUACGGGCGGACUUGAGUGUUGCAGGGGAGACUGGAAUUCCUGGUGUAGCGGUGAAAUGCGCAGAUAUCAGGAGGAAGACCGGUGGCGAAGGCGGCCUGCUGGGCAGUUACUGACACUGAGGCGCGACAGCGUGGGGAGCAAACAGG
This 253-nucleotide ribosomal RNA is filed under the name uncultured bacterium. RNAcentral describes it as "partial 16S ribosomal RNA". It matches the Rfam family "Bacterial small subunit ribosomal RNA", at positions 524 to 776 of the family's 1533-position model. The record is from RNAcentral.